Molecule: unclassified non-coding RNA, 315 nt
Filed under: plant metagenome
Description: partial contains 5.8S ribosomal RNA, internal transcribed spacer 2, and large subunit ribosomal RNA
Rfam family: 5.8S ribosomal RNA (bases 1-105)
Source: RNAcentral
GAACUGUGAUAAGUAAUGUGAAUUGCAGAAUUCAGUGAAUCAUCGAGUCUUUGAACGCACAUUGCGCCCCCUGGCAUUCCGGGGGGCAUGCCUGUCCGAGCGUCAUUGCUGCCCAUCAAGCCCGGCUUGUGUGUUGGGUCGUCGUCCCCCCCGGGGGACGGGCCCGAAAGGCAGCGGCGGCACCGUGUCCGGUCCUCGAGCGUAUGGGGCUUUGUCACCCGCUCGACUAGGGCCGGCCGGGCGCCAGCCGACGUCUCCAACCAUUUUUCUUCAGGUUGACCUCGGAUCAGGUAGGGAUACCCGCUGAACUUAAGC